GAUGAAGAACGCAGCGAAAUGCGAUAAGUAAUGUGAAUUGCAGAAUUCAGUGAAUCAUCGAAUCUUUGAACGCACCUUGCGCCCUUUGGCCAUUCCGAAGGGCAUGCCUGUUUGAGUAUCAUGAACACCUCAACUCUUUAUGGUUUUCCAUGAUGAGCUUGGACUCUGGGGGUUUUGCUGGCUCACAGUCGGCUCCUCUAAAAUGAAUCAGCUUACCAGUGUCUGGUGGGUAUCAUGGGUGUGAUAACUAUCUACGCUUGUGGUUUUUCCACCAGGUAACCUUCAGCAGUGGAGGUUCGCUGGAGCUCAUAGAUGUCUCUCCUCAGUGAGGACAGCCCUUUGAAUGUUUGAUCUCAAAUCAGGUAGGACUACCCGCUGAACUUAAGCAUAUCAAUAAGCGGAGGA
RNAcentral lists this unclassified non-coding RNA (405 nucleotides) under soil metagenome. Its description in RNAcentral is "partial contains 5.8S ribosomal RNA, internal transcribed spacer 2, and large subunit ribosomal RNA". The stretch from base 1 to 121 matches the Rfam family "5.8S ribosomal RNA", at positions 35 to 154 of the family's 154-position model. The record is from RNAcentral.